RNAcentral lists this ribosomal RNA (738 nucleotides) under Heterodermia speciosa. RNAcentral's name for it is "mitochondrial SSU rRNA". It matches the Rfam family "Bacterial small subunit ribosomal RNA", at positions 1 to 1149 of the family's 1533-position model. Lineage: Eukaryota; Fungi; Ascomycota; Lecanoromycetes; Caliciales; Physciaceae. The record is from RNAcentral.
UUGGUUGAAUGUAUAGCGAAAGCUAGCUGCAUUAGCUUAGCGAAAGCUAAAUUGGUGCAGAAUUGUCUCGUCAAAUAAAGUUCCGGGUGGGUUAUGACGAUGACAUUUCCUAUCCGUGUGUCUUGACCAAAUUACGUGCCAGCAGUCGCGGUAAUACGUAGAAGACUAGUGUUAUUCAUCUUUAAUAGGUUUAAAGGGUACCUAGACGGUAAAUCAAGUCCAAGAAGGAUACUAAUUUGACUAGAGUUAAAUGUAAUGGGGCAUUAAAGUACUGAUGAGUGUAGAGAUGAAAUUCUGUGAUACAAUAUACGGCACUGGCAAAGGCGAAGGCAUCUCCAUAUGUAAUAACUGACGUUGAGGGACGAAGGCUAUGUAUAGCAAAAAGGAUUAGGUACCCAAGUAGUCAUAGCAGAAAAUCAUGAAUGCCAUAGGAUGGAAAAUCUUUAGAGAAACUUUUUUUCUAUAAAUGAUAGUGUAAGCAUUCCACCUCAAGAGUAAUUUGGCAACAUUGGAACUGAAAUCAUUAGACCGUUUCUGAAACAAGUAGUGAAGUAUGUUGUUUAAUUUGAUGAUCCGCAAAAAACCUUACCACAAUUUGAAUAGAAAUUAUUUUUAUACAAGCGCUGCACGGUUGUCUUCGGUUAAUGUCGUGAGAUAUUGGUUAGCUCCAUUAAAUUAACGUAAACCCUUACUUUAUUUUUAUAUAGAGUAGUUCCCCACUAGAUUGGAUUAGAUAAC